RNAcentral lists this ribosomal RNA (112 nucleotides) under Gongylonema pulchrum. RNAcentral's name for it is "5.8S ribosomal RNA". It matches the Rfam family "5.8S ribosomal RNA", at positions 39 to 154 of the family's 154-position model. Rfam says of the family: 5.8S ribosomal RNA (5.8S rRNA) is a component of the large subunit of the eukaryotic ribosome. It is transcribed by RNA polymerase I as part of the 45S precursor that also contains 18S and 28S rRNA. The record is from Rfam by way of RNAcentral. Lineage: Eukaryota; Metazoa; Nematoda; Chromadorea; Rhabditida; Gongylonematidae.
AAGAACGCAGCUAGCUACGACAGGUCGAAUUGCACACACACUGAGCACUAAAAUUUCGAACGCACAUUGUGCCAUCGGGUUCAUUGCCGCUGGCAUGUCUGGCUGAGGGUUA